Molecule: long non-coding RNA, 402 nt
Filed under: Homo sapiens (human)
Lineage: Eukaryota; Metazoa; Chordata; Mammalia; Primates; Hominidae
Description: HSALNT0284123
Source: RNAcentral
GCUUGAUCGGUUCUACAAAGAGAAAUUUGAAGCAGGAAGCUGCAUUCCAUCUGCGAGCCAUGCUGAGAGAAAGCACUGAUCCUUUCACUGGACUAUACGGAGUCUGUAAACCAUCAACACAAAAGAAACCCUCCCACAUGAAGAAGAAAAAACUGUCAGCAAUUGUCUCAGAAAAUUUUCUUUACAAACAUGACUCUCAGAAGAUUGAGGAACGAAUGAAUUAAAUUAACUAACAGCAAAUCCACUAAUUAAAACUACUAAAGCAAUGCUUGCUUGUGAAGAUGUUUACUGGUUUGUUACCUCUCUGAAACUAUGCUUCCCAUUUAGCAAAAUCAUGUUUGUGUUUCUACCUAAUUUGUAAUAAGAUACUUGAAAAUUGCUAAUUAAUAAUUCUGAUAAACA